RNAcentral lists this ribosomal RNA (440 nucleotides) under uncultured bacterium. RNAcentral describes it as "partial 16S ribosomal RNA". It matches the Rfam family "Bacterial small subunit ribosomal RNA", at positions 338 to 795 of the family's 1533-position model. The record is from RNAcentral.
CCUACGGGGGGCAGCAGUGGGGAAUAUUGCACAAUGGGGGAAACCCUGAUGCAGCGACGCCGCGUGAGUGAAGAAGUAUUUCGGUAUGUAAAGCUCUAUCAGCAGGGAAGAAAAUGACGGUACCUGAUUAAGAAGCCCCGGCUAACUACGUCCCAGCAGCCGCGGUAAUACGUAGGGGGCCAGCGUUAUCCGGAUUUACUGGGUGUAAAGGGAGCGUAGACGGCAGCGCAAGACUGGAGUGAAAUGCCGGGGCUGAACCCCGGAACUGCUUUGGAAACUGUGCAGCUAGAGUGCAGGCGAGGUAAGUGGAAUUCCUAGUGUAGCGGUGAAAUGCGUAGAUAUUAGGAGGAACACCAGUGGCGAAGGCGGCUUACUGGACUGUAACUGACGUUGAGGCUCGAAAGCGUGGGGAGCGAACAGGAUUAGAUACCCGAGUAGUC